This is a long non-coding RNA of Mauremys mutica (yellowpond turtle), 1993 nucleotides long. RefSeq lists it as uncharacterized. The record is from RefSeq and is a predicted model, not a curated record. The transcript has 5 exons. Lineage: Eukaryota; Metazoa; Chordata; Testudines; Geoemydidae.
UUCAAGGAAGAGAUUAAGAGGGAGAAACCCAGCGCAUUUGAUGGCUGAACAGAGAGGAGAGUAGAUUUUUAGUUCUCUGAUCCUGAAGUGAGGACUGCCUGAAGUCAGGAGCUUCUGGGACAACUGAAGUAAAGUAAAAGAGGGCCUGAUCCUGACUUGUGUCGAGAGGGGACUAUUCCUAUCUAUUGUUGUAAGUCAGGUAGGGGCUACAGCCCAAUGAGUGCUCUCUGAAGGAAGUGAACAUUAAGCCAGUGUUGGGAUGAUUCCUUUGUGUAAUCUUCCUCCUUUCUGUGCUUUGACUGCUUUGGAAGGGGUCUGGACUAUCUGGGAGUCAGCUGAGGGCUGAGCCUCUUAGGCCUGGAACUGGAGUGGGAAGCUCUCCUGGCCCUUGGAGAGCUGUGGCCUAGUUUCCUCUGAUUGCUGCUAUUACCCUACGUACCAGAGGACUCUGAGCUCUCUUUUUGAGGGAAUCUGUUGGUGGAAGAGGAGUACUUGGAGCAGCUACACGUGACCUACGUCAGCAGGGGGUUCGACACCUUAUGAAGAAGCAGCAGGCAGCCAGGAAAGAAAAAGACAGAUGGAAGCUUACCAUCUCCUAGGAAAGAACAAAAUAUAUGUGUAAAGAAUUGAUUGAAAGGGACUACACUGGAGUUUCCUGUAUUUGUUAAUAGUGGAGGAAGUUUCUGGUUUUCAUGGUCAAGGAGAGAGCCGUCGAAAUGGGAGCCACGUGCAGUAGAUGCAGUGCGGCUGCCUGAGUAUGCAGCCUUCUGGAAACAAUGAUUUUGAACGGUGUGAACCCUCACCCCCUACUCUGUAUUAACUUCAAUGGAGUGUCAACAUCAGCGUCAACACUUACUGUGGCAUCACUGAUCAUUUUCGUAGAAGGAAGACUGUGGAAGCAGGGGAAGUUAGGAAUAGCUACAGGGAAGGAAAUGGAAAUGGAAAAAUAGAGGAGACAAAUAUAGGGAAGAGGGAGAGAAACAGAAAGGAGGAUGGGGAAGGAAGAGGAGCAAAGGGCAAAAAUAGCAGUGAUCCUAAGGGUGGGAAUAUUUUCUGUCAAAGUGAUACUGAAUGCAGCAAUAAGAUACUCAGUAAGUAACAAUAAUAACUAAAAGGUUACCGCAUAAAAGCCAUAUUUUAUCCCUGAUCUUUGUGCAAUGUCCCCUUCCUCCUGACUCUGAUGGUGAUUUCCUAUGUGGAUUAAGGGGUGUAUUUAGUCCUCUAUUUAUACACAGCCCACUGAUUUAUAAUGGAAUUUGGCCAUCUCCACCCAAUGUGUUUGACAUCUGAUUUAGAGCAAAAUUGAAUCACAAGAAAUUCCACAGAACCCAGUGAGUCAUCACCAGGUUUAUUUAAACUUACUUAAUUAACAUAAAAUAGCUGUAUGUAUAAUGAUGUGACAAUCCAAAAGCUUUAUUUUCAGAUAGGCAUCUGAGUGUUUUUCCAGAUAGCACAACAGACUUCUUUUUUCAAACACCUGUUUGGUGUAAGUAAAAUUAAUAUAAUAGAGAUCAAAGAAUGACUUAGAUUCAGAGAUUGAAAUAACAAUUUAACAGAGGAAAAAACCCUCAUAAAGGGGGAGAUGUUCUCAUGUGGUAUUCUGCAAUGCUACAGAAUUGCUGAGAGAGGACACCUAGUGGUGAUUAGUGGUUCAGUAUAUGCACAUGCCUAUAAAAAAGAGUUUGUGUAGCUGCUGAAAAUAUGUAAUAAACUUAAUAAUUGCCCUAAGGGGCUAACUGUUACAGCAGGCAGCUCUUUACCAAAAUAUUCUGCUUAGAAUUUACUAAAAUCCAAUUGACUUUUUCAUGACCACCACUUAAUGAUUUAAGUAGAAGGUCUAGAAAUUAAGGCAAAACUUGUCUUCCUUUUCCCCUUAAGACUUGUUUUGCUAAAGGAACUAGCUUGUCAAUAGAGGGUCCUUUAAAAUAAGACCCUUGUAUGAAAAUGCUUUUAAUUACCUGUCUGUAAGAUCAGGAAUUAUUUCUUUUAGAGA